Molecule: long non-coding RNA, 447 nt
Organism: Cajanus cajan (pigeon pea)
Lineage: Eukaryota; Viridiplantae; Streptophyta; Magnoliopsida; Fabales; Fabaceae
Source: RefSeq, a predicted model, not a curated record
GGUAAGUUGGGCCAGGCGAUGUUAAGGCCCAGGUUGAGCGAUGGUUGAACUAAGGAGCGGAAAGGGCAUAGAAGUGAGUACGAAUGCCCGAAUGGAGAAGAGGAUCACUCUGGUUCAGACCAUUGCUACCGCUGCCGUUUUCUCUGCCAUUUCAUUCUGGUAUGGCUUCAUGUUCGGCAGAGAGUCCUCUCGCAAAGAACUCCAUCACCUAAUCCAAGAUCUCCGUCGCGGAAACCCUCCCGACUCCGACCAUUCUUGAACUCUCGCUUUCAAUUUAAUCUCUUUAACACUGUAUGUUUCUUUCUAACUCACCCUGUACCCUUUUCCCCUGCCAAUUUUCUAACUAGGGCUUCAUUCUACAACUUUACCUUGUCAUUUGUUGUAUGAAUUGUUUCAUGAAUAGCCACAAAAAGGUUUUCCCUCUAUGUUAAACUCUCGUUAUUUUUA